ACACUCCUACGGGAGGCAGCAGUGGGGAAUAUUGGACAAUGGGCGCAAGCCUGAUCCAGCCAUGCCGCGUGAGUGAUGAAGGCCCUAGGGUUGUAAAGCUCUUUCACCGGAGAAGAUAAUGACGGUAUCCGGAGAAGAAGCCCCGGCUAACUUCGUGCCAGCAGCCGCGGUAAUACGAAGGGGGCUAGCGUUGUUCGGAAUUACUGGGCGUAAAGCGCACGUAGGCGGAUCGAUCAGUCAGGGGUGAAAUCCCAGGGCUCAACCCUGGAACUGCCUUUGAUACUGUCGAUCUGGAGUAUGGAAGAGGUGAGUGGAAUUCCGAGUGUAGAGGUGAAAUGCGUAGAUAUUCGGAGGAACACCAGUGGCGAAGGCGGCUCACUGGUCCAUUACUGACGCUGAGGUGCGAAAGCGUGGGGAGCAAACAGGAUUAGAAACCCGGGUAGUCCCA
Molecule: ribosomal RNA, 448 nt
Filed under: uncultured organism
Description: partial 16S ribosomal RNA
Rfam family: Bacterial small subunit ribosomal RNA
Source: RNAcentral